Molecule: small RNA, 56 nt
Filed under: Microtus ochrogaster (prairie vole)
Lineage: Eukaryota; Metazoa; Chordata; Mammalia; Rodentia; Cricetidae
Description: 7SK RNA (ENSMOCG00000011522.1)
Source: RNAcentral
UCUGUCAUCUUAUUGUUUGCCAGGGUAAAUUUGGUUGACCUGGCUGGCUAGGCAGG